This 553-nucleotide ribosomal RNA is filed under the name uncultured freshwater bacterium. RNAcentral describes it as "bacterial SSU rRNA". It matches the Rfam family "Bacterial small subunit ribosomal RNA", at positions 8 to 607 of the family's 1533-position model. The record is from RNAcentral.
AGAGUUUGAUCCUGGCUCAGAACGAACGCUGGCGGCAUGCCUAACACAUGCAAGUCGAACGAAGCCUUCGGGCUUAGUGGCGCACGGGUGCGUAACGCGUGGGAAUCUGCCCUUGGGUACGGAAUAACAGUGAGAAAUUGCUGCUAAUACCGUAUGAUGUCUUCGGACCAAAGAUUUAUCGCCCAGGGAUGAGCCCGCGUAGGAUUAGCUGGUUGGUGAGGUAAAGGCUCACCAAGGCUACGAUCCUUAGCUGGUCUGAGAGGAUGAUCAGCCACACUGGGACUGAGACACGGCCCAGACUCCUACGGGAGGCAGCAGUGGGGAAUAUUGGACAAUGGGCGAAAGCCUGAUCCAGCAAUGCCGCGUGAGUGAAGAAGGCCUUCGGGUUGUAAAGCUCUUUUACCCGGGAAGAUAAUGACCGUACCGGGAGAAUAAGCCCCGGCUAACUCCGUGCCAGCAGCCGCGGUAAUACGGAGGGGGCUAGCGUUGUUCGGAAUCACUGGGCGUAAAGCGUGCGUAGGCGGCCAUUCAAGUCAGAGGUGAAAGCCCAGGG